CCUACGGGUGGCAGCAGUAGGGAAUAUUGCUCAAUGGGGGAAACCCUGAAGCAGCAACGCCGCGUGGAGGAUGAAGGUCUUAGGAUUGUAAAAUCCUUUUGUUAGGGAAGAUUAUGACGGUAUCUAACGAAUAAGCACCGGCUAAAUCCGUGCCAGCAGCCGCGGUAAUACGGAGGGUGCCAGCGUUACUCGGAAUCACUGGGCGGAAAGAGUGCGUAGGCGGGGUAAUAAGUCAGAUGUGAAAUCCUGUAGCUUAACUAGAGAACUGCAUUUGAAACUGUUACUCUGGAGUGUGGGAGAGGUAGGUGGAAUUCUUGGUGUAGGGGUGAAAUGCGUAGAGAUCAAGAGGAAUACUCAUUGCGAAGGCGACCUGCUGGAACAUUACUGACGCUGAUGCACGAAAGCGUGGGGAGCAAACAGGAUUAGAUACCCGAGUAGUC
Molecule: ribosomal RNA, 440 nt
Filed under: uncultured bacterium
Lineage: Bacteria
Description: partial 16S ribosomal RNA
Rfam family: Bacterial small subunit ribosomal RNA
Source: RNAcentral